This 429-nucleotide ribosomal RNA is filed under the name Bacillota bacterium. RNAcentral describes it as "Firmicutes bacterium partial 16S ribosomal RNA". It matches the Rfam family "Bacterial small subunit ribosomal RNA", at positions 355 to 776 of the family's 1533-position model. Lineage: Bacteria; Bacillati; Bacillota. The record is from RNAcentral.
UAGGGAAUCUUCGGCAAUGGACGGAAGUCUGACCGAGCAACGCCGCGUGAGUGAAGAAGGUUUUCGGAUCGUAAAGCUCUGUUGUUAGAGAAGAACGUUGGUAGGAGUGGAAAAUCUACCAAGUGACGGUAACUAACCAGAAAGGGACGGCUAACUACGUGCCAGCAGCCGCGGUAAUACGUAGGUCCCGAGCGUUGUCCGGAUUUAUUGGGCGUAAAGCGAGCGCAGGCGGUUCUUUAAGUCUGAAGUUAAAGGCAGUGGCUUAACCAUUGUACGCUUUGGAAACUGGAGGACUUGAGUGCAGAAGGGGGGAGUGGAAUUCCAUGUGUAGCGGUGAAAUGCGUAGAUAUAUGGAGGAACACAGGUGGCGAAAGCGGCUCUCUGGUCUGUAACUGACGCUGAGGCUCGAAAGCGUGGGGAGCAAACAGG